Ochlerotatus camptorhynchus is the source of this 773-nucleotide long non-coding RNA. RefSeq lists it as uncharacterized. The transcript is spliced from 2 exons. The record is from RefSeq and is a predicted model, not a curated record. NCBI's taxonomy places the organism in Eukaryota, Metazoa, Arthropoda, Insecta, Diptera, Culicidae.
UCGAAUCUGUCACUCCCUGUUUUCACUUAUAAAAAACUCGGAAAACUUCAGUAGAGACUUCUAUAAUCGUCAAUUACAGCAAAGAUACUAGUGAUUUACUGCCAAUAAUACUUGGAAGAUAAUUUUGUUGUAAUCAUCGUCGUCUGGCAUACUUAAUAUUUGCUUAAUAUCAGUGAAAAAUGUUUAUUUUUCCGCACCAAUAGUUUUUCCCAUGUAUUUUUACAAGUACUGUUGCUGAGUUGCACAAUGUUGAUUGGGCUCAUAUUACCAAGGAACUUAUGACGGAAGUACUAUUAGUCUUUUAGUUUGAAUUCGUUCCUCCGGGCUUAAGAAUAAUAAGAUGAAUAGCCAUACAACUGGAAGCGAUUCUAGCUGCUGCGGAAGGCAGUCAGCCAAUAAAAGUGAUUAUGCAUUUUCCCACGAAAAAGAAUGCUCAAUAAAAACUAAUACAUGGAGCUUAGGCAAGGGAUCUCAACAGUUGUUAUGGAGUCUUUCCAGCAAAAGUAAUGUAUCUACGAUGCAGCGGAAUUCCAGCACAUUGCACAAGCGACUAUCCAGCUCUCAUAAUUCAUUAAGUGAUUCGACAACGAAAAAAGUUGACGAUUCAAUAUUCAUUACUCAAGCUAUGUCGCAUGAUGCUUUGGAUGACAACAAAAUAUUAGAUUUUUACAACGUUCCUCUUGACUCGGAUAUAUAUUCUGCACCUAUAGACUACAUUACAAAUCAGUAUACCAUUGAAUCAGUAUUACACAAAACGAAGUCUUGUAAGACAG